UGGGGAAUAUUGGACAAUGGGCGAAAGCCUGAUCCAGCCAUGCCGCGUGAGUGAUGAAGGCCCUAGGGUUGUAAAGCUCUUUCGGCGGGGACGAUAAUGACGGUACCCGCAGAAGAAGCCCCGGCUAACUUCGUGCCAGCAGCCGCGGUAAUACGAAGGGGGCUAGCGUUGCUCGGAAUCACUGGGCGUAAAGGGCGCGUAGGCGGAUCUUUAAGUCGGGGGUGAAAGCCUGAGGGCUCAACCUCAGAAUUGCCUUCGAUACUGGAGAUCUUGAGACCGGAAGAGGUAAGUGGAACUGCGAGUGUAGAGGUGAAAUUCGUAGAUAUUCGCAAGAACACCAGUGGCGAAGGCGGCUUACUGGUCCGGUUCUGACGCUGAGGCGCGAAAGCGUGGGGAGCAAACAGGAUUAGAUACCCUGGUAGUCCACGCCGUAAACGAUGGAUGCUAGCUGUUGGCCGGCUUGCCGGUCAGUAGCGCAGCUAACGCUUUAAGCAUCCCGCCUGGGGGAGUACGGUCGC
This 518-nucleotide ribosomal RNA is filed under the name uncultured bacterium. RNAcentral describes it as "bacterial SSU rRNA". It matches the Rfam family "Bacterial small subunit ribosomal RNA", at positions 355 to 889 of the family's 1533-position model. The record is from RNAcentral.